RNAcentral lists this ribosomal RNA (252 nucleotides) under uncultured bacterium. RNAcentral's name for it is "partial 16S ribosomal RNA". It matches the Rfam family "Bacterial small subunit ribosomal RNA", at positions 524 to 776 of the family's 1533-position model. The record is from RNAcentral.
UACGUAGGUCCCGAGCGUUGUCCGGAUUUAUUGGGCGUAAAGCGAGCGCAGGUGGUUUAUUAAGUCUGGUGUAAAAGGCAGUGGCUCAACCAUUGUAUGCAUUGGAAACUGGUAGACUUGAGUGCAGGAGAGGAGAGUGGAAUUCCAUGUGUAGCUGUGAAAUGCGUAGAUAUAUGGAGGAACACCGGUGGCGAAAGCGGCUCUCUGGCCUGUAACUGACACUGAGGCUCGAAAGCGUGGGGAGCAAACAGG